Long non-coding RNA from Manis pentadactyla (Chinese pangolin), 599 nucleotides. RefSeq lists it as uncharacterized. The transcript has 2 exons. NCBI's taxonomy places the organism in Eukaryota, Metazoa, Chordata, Mammalia, Pholidota, Manidae. The record is from RefSeq and is a predicted model, not a curated record.
AAACAAGUUCACCUUUCCCUGCCAUUUACUUAGGGCCUGUAUUUAUUCUGAACUCCUAGAAUCGCGGGGCCUGUCAGAGCCUGACCGGUGCUUGAGGUCACCCUCUUUUAAAGUAAGAAAUUUGAGGUCCAGAGGACCUAACCAAUGGUGGGCACAAGCAGCUGCAGCCAGGAGGCACAAAGCCAGCCAGGAAAGCAGCUGACAUACGGUAAGGACCCGACCAGACUCAGGUGACACCGGAAUCUCAUACCUGAACCAUGACAAAAACAAGUUUUAUCCUUCAAAGUUUCAGAAGGACAUAUGUCCACUGGCUAGACUCCUAUCUUCCAACCUCUCUGGCAACUAAGUGUGGGUUUGUGAUUAAAUAACGGCCAGUAGGGAUUGAACAAAAGGAAGGUCUGCUACUUCGGUGAUGCCGUGAAAAGUAUGGACAUGCCUUCCCCCUUGCCCUUUUCCUUCACUCCCGACUAAGAGGCGACUACGGGAAUGGCCACCUUGAAUUUGGACAUGGAAGUCUUAUGAGGGUGCCAGAGUCCCCUCUCAGCUCUGGAACGCCUAGCUCUGUAAACUGAAAGAGAAAUAAAUGUCAUCUUAUUUAA